Molecule: long non-coding RNA, 608 nt
Organism: Bos indicus x Bos taurus (hybrid cattle)
Lineage: Eukaryota; Metazoa; Chordata; Mammalia; Artiodactyla; Bovidae
Source: Ensembl
CAUCUGGCAUGCAAGCCACAAUGCAGUUGCCUGAAACAUGCAACCAAAGAGGACUCUACAAGAAAGAGCCAGAAUCCCAGCUCCCAAACGUGGCAGAGAAUUGAAAACAGUGGAGUGCUUAAAAAAACAUGGGUCUGGAACUACACCCCUAUUCUGCCACUUUCGAUCUCUGGAGUUCACAUGCAGGAAAGAGGGACGAGGGUCAGAACUGAAACUCUGGAGGAAUGUCCCAGCAGCUGACUACGGGUGCAGUCCUGAGAAGUACAUCUCCACUGUUUCAGAUGGUGGAGUGGAACUCAAUGACUGUCAAUGUGACUCUUUGGACACUAAGGGGAGAAUUCAGAAGUUUGAACCCACGACUUGAACCCAGCAGUGCUAUGUCAUCGCUGUGGCUGACUGUGACUGUGAAUACUUCUCCCUGGGGAAAAAGCCUGAAAAGCUAUCAGUGGCCGGUGGGUGGUACCUGGUGGCUGGAUCUGAGUUGUCAAGAUAGAAUGUCACCAUCCGGAGAGACAAGAGGGCUCCAAAAGCCCUGGAACAGUCCUGAUUCUUGUCAGACUGUGGAAAAAGAGCAUAAAUUGGUGAGUGCAUUUGAUAAGGUGAAGUAA